Molecule: transfer RNA, 121 nt
Filed under: Aureobasidium namibiae CBS 147.97
Lineage: Eukaryota; Fungi; Ascomycota; Dothideomycetes; Dothideales; Saccotheciaceae
Rfam family: tRNA
About the family: Transfer RNA (tRNA) molecules are approximately 80 nucleotides in length. Their secondary structure includes four short double-helical elements and three loops (D, anti-codon, and T loops). Further hydrogen bonds mediate the characteristic L-shaped molecular structure. tRNAs have two regions of fundamental functional importance: the anti-codon, which is responsible for specific mRNA codon recognition, and the 3' end, to which the tRNAs corresponding amino acid is attached (by aminoacyl-tRNA synthetases). tRNAs cope with the degeneracy of the genetic code in two manners: having more than one tRNA (with a specific anti-codon) for a particular amino acid; and 'wobble' base-pairing, i.e. permitting non-standard base-pairing at the 3rd anti-codon position.
Source: Rfam by way of RNAcentral
GCCGUGGUGGUGCAGUGGCCAGCACUCCCGAUCCCAAACAUUCUCUAUGUUCGCUCGCUUUACUCAUAAACACUUUCUCUCAAGGAUCGGAAGGUCGUUGGUUCGAAUCCAACUCACGGUG